CAGGAUGAACGCUAGCGACAGGCCUAACACAUGCAAGUCGAGGGGCAGCGCGGAGUAGCAAUACUUGGCGGCGACCGGCGCACGGGUGAGUAACACGUAUGCCAACCAACCCAUAACAGGGGGAUAACCCGGAGAAUCCGGACUAAUACCGCAUAAGACCACGAUAUCGCAUGAUAUAGAGGUCAAAUAUUUAUAGGUUAUGGACGGGCAUGCGUCUGAUUAGCUGGUUGGCGGGGUAACGGCCCACCAAGGCAUCGACCAGUAGGGGUUCUGAGAGGAAGGUCCCCCCACAUUGGAACUGAGACACGGUCCAAACUCCUACGGGAGGCAGCAGUGGGGAAUAUUGCACAAUGGGCGAAAGCCUGAUGCCAGCAACGCCGCGUGAAUGAUGAAGGCCUUCGGGUCGUAAAGUUCUUUGAUCAGGGAUGAUAGUGACAGUACCUGAAAAACAAGCCACGGCUAACUACGUGCCAGCCGCAGC
Molecule: ribosomal RNA, 481 nt
Filed under: uncultured bacterium
Lineage: Bacteria
Description: bacterial SSU rRNA
Rfam family: Bacterial small subunit ribosomal RNA
Source: RNAcentral